This 334-nucleotide ribosomal RNA is filed under the name uncultured eukaryote. Its description in RNAcentral is "partial 18S ribosomal RNA". It matches the Rfam family "Eukaryotic small subunit ribosomal RNA", at positions 1470 to 1796 of the family's 1831-position model. The record is from RNAcentral.
CCCUUAGAUGUCCGGGGCCGCACGCGCGCUACACUGAAGGAAUCAGCGUGGCUUUCUCCCUGACCCGAAAGGGUUGGGAAACCCGUUGAAUCUCCUUCGUGAUAGGGAUUGGGGCUUGAAAUUGUUCCCCAUGAACGAGGAAUUCCCAGUAAGCGCGAGUCAUAAGCUCGCGUUGAUUACGUCCCUGCCCUUUGUACACACCGCCCGUCGCUACUACCGAUUGAACGGUUUAGUGAGGGCCUCGGAUUGGUCUCGGCCCGCUCUUUACCGGGCGGCGCCGUUGGUCGAGAAGACGCUCGAACUUGAUCGUUUAGAGGAAGUAAAAGUCGUAACG